Non-coding RNA from Zootoca vivipara (common lizard), 612 nucleotides. Lineage: Eukaryota; Metazoa; Chordata; Lepidosauria; Squamata; Lacertidae. The record is from RefSeq and is a predicted model, not a curated record.
ACUCCGCUUCAGGAGGUCACUCGUUCACAGCUGCUCCUCCCAUUCUAUUUUUCCCCCUUCCAGCAGAACUGCUGCUUGUACACACUGACUGAAAAGGACUCAAUUUACUGCAACUGCUACCUGGUUUUACUUACAACUUUCUUUAAAGAGGGACAUACCUUCCAGCUAUCUUGCAAAGAAAGGUAUACAGCUUUUAGGACAUCCCAUCAUCUGGUGUGGGGAACUAUGGAACUGAAGCUAGGUGUGCUGCAAAAGCCUGGGCAGUGAUAAAGAGAUUAGAUAGUCAUAGACUGAAACGGAGGUCAAGGAAUGAUGAAUCAAGCGGAAGGACAUCUACAACUAAAUUGAGGACUGACUUGAAAGUGCUUCUCAGAAGGUAUAUGGAUUAAAUACUUCCUGCCUGGUAGGUCCCAAUUCUAGUUUUUGCUCUUGUUGUUUGGCAAAGCCGUCCUUUCUCCCCAGGCUCAAUCACAGAGCAAUCGGGUCAGUGGGUUUAUUUGCAGAGACCCAUAUUCACCAUAUUGCAGAGCAGUUAUGGACAUGGUGUUAUGGACUGCACCAGCUGGUGCACAGUUCACUAAGGACUAGUCACCACUAUGCAGUUGGUUUGGU